Oncorhynchus tshawytscha (Chinook salmon) is the source of this 2030-nucleotide long non-coding RNA. NCBI's taxonomy places the organism in Eukaryota, Metazoa, Chordata, Actinopteri, Salmoniformes, Salmonidae. The record is from Ensembl.
UUGAUGCCUUAACAAACCUUUGAAUGCUCUACAUUGUUAUUAUUCCUUUAUAGCAUGCAGCUAACAUUGAAAGGAUAUAUUACAUUUCCGAGGCAAAGUGUUGCACUGUUUUGAAUUCUCGUACAUGGUUAACUAUACUGAACAAAAAUAGGAACGCAAAAUGUAAAGUGUUGGUCCCAUGUUUCAUGAGCUGAAAUAGAAGAUUCUAGAAAUGUUCUACAUGUACAAAACGCUUAUUUCUCUCAAUUUCUGGGCAUAAAUUUGUUUACAUUCCUUUUAGUGAGCCUUUCUCCUUUGCCAUAUAAUCUAUCCACCUGACAGGUGUGGCAUAUCAAGAAGCUGAUUAAACAGCAUGAUCAUUACACAGGUGCACCUCGUGCUUGGUACAAUAAAAUGCUACUCUAAAAUGUGCAGUUUUGUCACACAGUACAAUGCCAAAGAAGUCUCAAGUUCUGAGGGAGUUUGCAAUUGGUAUGCUGACUGCAGGAAAGUCCACCCGAGCUGUUGCCAAAGAGUUAAAUGUUCAUUUGUCUACCUUAAGCUGCCUCCAAUAUCCUUUUAGAGAAUUUGGCAGUAUGUCCAACUGGCCUCACAACCGCAGACUACAUGUAACUACGCCAACCCAGGAUCUCCACAUCCUGCUUCUUUACCUGUGGGAUGAAACUGUGGCACAACAGGAAGAUUUCUGCACAAACUGUUAGAAACCUCAGGGAAGCUCAGGGAAGCUCAUCUGCAUGCUCAUCGUCCUCACCAGGGUCUUGACCUGACUGCAGUUCGGCGUCGGUACAGACUUCAGUGUGCAAAUGCUCACCUUCGAUGGCCACUGGCACACUGGAGAAGUGUGCUCUUCACGGAUGAAUCCCGGUUUCAACUGUACUGGGCAGAUAUCAGACAUAUGGGCAAAGUGCCCCAUGGUGGCAGUGGGGUUAUGGUAUGGGCAGGACAACCAACACAAUUUACGGACAACCAACACAAUUGAAUUUUAUCAAUGGCAAUUUGAAUGCAGAUACCGUGAUGAGAUCCUGAGGCCCAUUGUCAUGCCACUGGUGGGUGGCACCAUGGUACCAUGGCACAGAGCAAAAGGCUGAGGCACUGCAACAUGUCUCUCUGGGUGAAGAAAACAAACAUUUACAAAAAAGCUCUAAAUCUAAAAAUGAACGGAAAUAAUUAUGUGCCUGUCUCCUCCUCUUUUUGUUAACCAGCAAUUGACUUUGUGUGUGUGGGGGGGAAUAAUGAUGAAUGCACAAAUUCUGUCUACAAAUGUUCUAUAAUCUGGCUAUUUAGAAAUGGAAAUCAAAUGGGUUCCAGAAAGAAAUCCAUAUUGUGUCACUGCUGGAUUAUUACAUUGCAUAUUAAGAUAGAUCAUUAGUAUUUCCCCAUAGCCUUAGGGAUGUAGAUCUCAAUAUGCUGUACACAAUGUACACAUUUUAUAGAACUGGGGGGAGUCAGGGAAAUGUUGACAUGAUGUCCAGCUGAAGUUGCAUGGUGAAGGGACAUUUUGUCCAGCUGAGACUGCAUGUGAAGGGCUGUUCUGACAUGAUGUCUAGCUGAGGCUGUAUGGUGAAGGGAUGUUCUGACAUGAUGACUGACUGAGGCUGUAUGGUGAAGGGAUGUUCUGACAUGAUGACCGACUGAGGCUGUAUGGUGAAGGGAUGUUCUGACAUGAUGACCGACUGAGGCUGUAUGGUGAAGGGAUGUUCUGACAUGAUGACUGGCUGAGGCUGUAUGGUGAAGGGAUGUUCUGACAUGAUGACUGGCUGAGGCUGUAUGGUGAAGGGAUGUUCUGACAUGAUGACUGACUCAGGCUGUAUGGUGAAGGGAUGUUCUGACAUGAUGACUGACUGAGGCUGUAUGGUGAAGGGAUGUUCUGACAUGAUGACCGGCUGAGGCUGUAUGGUGAAGGGAUGUUCUGACAUGAUGACCGGCUGAGGCUGUAUGGUGAAGGGAUGUUCUGACAUGAUGACAGACUCAGGCUGUAUGGUGAAGGGAUGUUCUGACAUGAUGACCGACUGAGGCUGUAUGGUGAAGGG